RNAcentral lists this ribosomal RNA (971 nucleotides) under human gut metagenome. RNAcentral describes it as "bacterial SSU rRNA". It matches the Rfam family "Bacterial small subunit ribosomal RNA", at positions 8 to 977 of the family's 1533-position model. The record is from RNAcentral.
AGAGUUUGAUUCUGGCUCAGGACGAACGCUGGCGGCGUGCCUAAUACAUGCAAGUCGAGCGGAGGUAUAUCGUAGAAGGAUUUAUCUGGAAAUGAUAUACUUUAGCGGCGGACGGGUGAGUAACGCGUGAGCAAUCUGGCCUAUACAGGGGGAUAACACAGGGAAACUUGUACUAAUACCGCAUAAUCUCCUUUGGUCGCAUGAUCGAGGGAAGAAAGUGGCAACACGGUAAAGGGGGAGCUCGCGUUCUAUUAGAUAGUUGGUGAGGUAACGGCUCACCAAGUCAACGAUAGAUAGCCGACCUAAGAGGGUGAUCGGCCACACUGGAACUGAGACACGGUCCAGACUUCUACGGAAGGCAGCAGUAGGGAAUAUUGGGCAAUGGAGGGAACUCUGACCCAGCAACGCCGCGUGAAGGAAGAAGGUUUUCGGAUUGUAAACUUCUAUCCUUGGUGAAGAGAAGGACGGUAGCCAAGAAGGAAGCCCCGGCUAACUACGUGCCAGCAGCCGCGGUAAUACGUAGGGGGCAAGCGUUGUCCGGAAUGAUUGGGCGUAAAGGGCUCGUAGGUGGCAUGUCAAGUCUGAAGUGAAAGUCCUACUUUCAAGGUGGGAAUUGCUUUGGAAACUGGCAAGCUUGAGUAUAGGAGAGGUUAGUGGAAUUCCUAGUGUAGCGGUGAAAUGCGUAGAGAUUAGGAGGAACAUCAGUGGCGAAGGCGACUAACUGGACUAAAACUGACACUGAGGAGCGAAAGUGUGGGUAGCAAACAGGAUUAGAUACCCUGGUAGUCCACACUGUAAACGAUGAAUGCUAGGUGUAGGGGGUAUCGACCCCUUCUGUGCCGCAGUAAACACAGUAAGCAUUCCGCCUGGGGAGUACGGCCGCAAGGUUAAAACUCAAAGAAAUUGACGGGGGCCCGCACAAGCAGCGGAGCAUGUGGUUUAAUUCGAAGCAACGCGAAGAACCUUACCAG